CUAACUAAUAACAUACUACAUCUUCAUUUUGUUAGUUGACAUUAUACCUCAAUGAAUUUCCAAAAAUUAAUUCAAACUUCAUUGUCGAUGGUAUUAACCGAAGGGUAGGUGAAAUUGUAAGAGAAACUGACCUGUCAUUCAAAAUGGUAUAUAUUUAGCAAGGAACCCUAGAUUAACAUUGGGAGCUCUUAGGCUUUUUCCUUAUUAAUUAUCACAGUGUGUAAUUAAAAUAUUCUCUAAAUUCAAAACUAAAAAAUUCUACAACUGAAGGAUGUGAUUAAAAAUAUGGUCCAUAUUAUCAUGUGUAUUUUUAGCUAAUUAAUCUGUAGUGCAAAUAUUUAGUAGGGGUUGGGGGGAAUAGAAAGGUAAUAUUGCUAAAAGACCCUUUUUGUGUAUAUUAAGGAAGUUUAUUUUCAUAACCCUGAAUAUUUUGAAUGAAUUUUUUUUGCAUUCAUUAGGAAUAUAUGAGCAGAGAUUCAGUCCUGGGAUUUGACCGUCUGAAGGGCAGUGAAGACAAAUAUGCUCCCAGAUUGGCAGAACUGAACAUUGAAAGCCAAAUGGGAAAAGACAAGUUAUGCAAAUUAUUUAGGAGCCUCAGAAAGGACUUUAAUGGAUUUGCAAAUGGAGCACAUCAAGAAGAUAUUAAAGCAACUUUUAAUAUAAAUGUUAGAAGGAGGAAAUCACUAAAUCUUGAAACCUGGAAAACAUUGUUAAAGGGCUACUGUUCCUUAUGGUUUUACCUAUCAAACUUAACAAUCGGUCAUCAUAUUAUUUUAUGA
RNAcentral lists this long non-coding RNA (779 nucleotides) under Monodelphis domestica (gray short-tailed opossum). Its description in RNAcentral is "lncRNA (ENSMODG00000031428.2)". The record is from RNAcentral. Lineage: Eukaryota; Metazoa; Chordata; Mammalia; Didelphimorphia; Didelphidae.